CAAGUAGACCGGGUGGCCGCUCCGAUGCCGGCUUGCCGUCAUCGGGGAGGAAAGUCCGAGCUCCACCGGGCAGGGUGCUGGGUAACACCCAGGAGGGGCGACCCUCGGAAAGUGCCACAGAAACAUACCGCCUCGAUUUUUUCGGGGUAAGGGUGAAAUGGUGAGGUAAGAGCUCACCGCGCCGAUGGUGACAUCGGUGGCGGGUAAACCCCACCUGGAGCAAGGCCGAAUAGAAGGACUAUAGGCGCCCGGCCUGUCCUCGGGUAGGCCGCAUGACCCCGGCGGUAACGUCGGGGCUAGAUAGAUGGUCACCACUCCGAUUCGUCGGAGCACAGAACUCGGCUUACAGGUCUACUUGGUCA
Molecule: RNase P RNA, 362 nt
Filed under: Dehalococcoidia bacterium
Lineage: Bacteria; Bacillati; Chloroflexota; Dehalococcoidia
Description: RNase P RNA component class A
Rfam family: Bacterial RNase P class A
About the family: Ribonuclease P (RNase P) is a ubiquitous endoribonuclease, found in archaea, bacteria and eukarya as well as chloroplasts and mitochondria.
Source: RNAcentral